UUGUGGAGGAGGACGCCGAAGGUGGGGCUAAUGACUGGGGUGAAGUCGUAACAAGGUAGCCGUACCGGAAGGUGCGGCUGGAUCACCUCCUAACAGGGAGACAACAAAAUGUUAAAUAUUAAUUUUGUCACCUUAGGUCGAUCGGUACCUUACAUUCUUAAUUUAUUGAGAAUUUCAUUUCCUAAGUUUUUCUAGGUCACACCCAUUAUUUUUCCUGGGCCAUUAGCUCAGGUGGUUAGAGCGCACCCCUGAUAAGGGUGAGGUCCCUGGUUCAAGUCCAGGAUGGCCCAUCAUAUCUCUAUGUUGGGGGUAUAGCUCAGUUGGUAGAGCGCCUGCUUUGCAAGCAGGAUGUCAGCGGUUCGAGUCCGCUUACCUCCACUGAUUACCACCUCUUUCAUAAUCUGUGAAAGGAAAUGUUUUGAGUUGUGAUCAAAUUCUGAACGAAUCUAGCUUCCUAAUGAAACCAUUAAGAUGCUAGACUCAUUGAAUUAUAUUCAUUGUUUUCAGAGAACCUCGACAACUGCAUAGAUUAUUUUUAAAGACAAUAAGCAUCUUUAAAGAUGCAGAUUUAUUAUUUGUGCGAAUGCAUUAAUAACAAUUCUAUUAAGCUGAUGCUUCAAUUUUGAAGUUAUUGGUCAAGCUACAA
This 646-nucleotide unclassified non-coding RNA is filed under the name uncultured Prochlorococcus sp. Its description in RNAcentral is "partial 16S-23S ribosomal RNA intergenic spacer; may also contain 16S ribosomal RNA and 23S ribosomal RNA". The stretch from base 306 to 378 matches the Rfam family "tRNA". Lineage: Bacteria; Bacillati; Cyanobacteriota; Cyanophyceae; Synechococcales; Prochlorococcaceae. The record is from RNAcentral.